RNAcentral lists this long non-coding RNA (458 nucleotides) under Micromonas commoda. RNAcentral describes it as "long non-coding RNA (MCOM_LNC000135)". The record is from RNAcentral. Lineage: Eukaryota; Viridiplantae; Chlorophyta; Mamiellophyceae; Mamiellales; Mamiellaceae.
UCGGACUGAAGGCGGCGGAGCUCUCCGCGCUCGGUGCCAUCACCGGCGGCGUGUUCCACGGGUUGAACAAGGCUCUCGUGGGUUUGCACAAAAAGAGGGAGGGUGACGAUUUCGAGCCGACGAUUCCCAUGCCGGACCUCAAGACGUCCGUCCUGGGCAUGGGGGCCUUCAUGGGCCUCAGCUGCAACCUCCGCUACCAGCUCAUCGGCGGCGCCGAUCGCUGGAUGACGGAGCGGCUCACCACGCUCAUGUCGGCCAUCACGGCGACGGGUCUCGGCAGGCUGGCGAACAACCACUUUGGCGACCAGACCAGGCUCUUCGCGCUCGGCCUGCCCAUCCACGCGACGAUGACGACGAGGUCGGCGGCCAAGGCGACGCCGAAGAAGACGAAGAAGGUGAAGAAGAAGGUGAAGAAGAGCAAGAAGAAGAAGGCAGCCGCCCCCCAGGAGGCUGUCAUG